CAAAAACAUCUCCCCCUGAAAUAAGGAUUGGGGGUAGGCCCUGCCCAGUGGAGGUUUCUAAACGGAAAGGGUAACUUUUAAAGUAGCGUAAUAAUUUGUCCCUUAAUUAGGGUCUGAAUGAACGGGUUGACGUGGGAUAGCUGUCUUAGAAAAACCAAUUGAAAUUUUCUUUUUAGUGAAAAGCCUAAAAUAUUACUAAAAGACGAGAAGACCCCGUCGAGCUUGAGAGGGAAAAAGAAUUUUUAUUUCUUUUUUCCCAGUUUUGUUGGGGCAACAAUGGAGAAUAUAAACCUCCAGUUUUUAAAUGGAUCCACUUAUAGUGAAAAAAAGAAAAAGUUACCGCGGGGAUAACAGCGCAAGACAACCAGAGAGCUCAUAUCUAAGGUUGUAAGUGCGACCUCGAUGUUGGAUUAAGGAGAGCUCGGAGGUGUAGCAGCUUCCAGAGCGGGACUGUUCGUCCUUUAAAUCCUUACAUGAUCUGAGUU
RNAcentral lists this ribosomal RNA (485 nucleotides) under Fulvia fragiformis. Its description in RNAcentral is "partial 16S ribosomal RNA". It matches the Rfam family "Bacterial large subunit ribosomal RNA", at positions 1808 to 2611 of the family's 2925-position model. The record is from RNAcentral. Lineage: Eukaryota; Metazoa; Mollusca; Bivalvia; Cardiida; Cardiidae.